UAAGCAAUCAUGUGGUAGCAGUUUGGUCAUUCCGGUUCCUGAGGGGUACCGUUUGGUUUGGUUUCUUGUUCAUCUUUUAAUGUCGAGCCCCUUUAUUCACUCCCCCUUUUUUGUGGUACAUGAUGACUUUUGGCCUAGCAGUGUUCCUCGCUUCUCCGCCCUCAUGCCGAGUGUGAGGAAGGUAAUUUCAAAGAGACGGAAAGUGGUUCUGCCUCCUGCCGGUAGCAGCGAGAUAUUGGCGUUCUCGACAACCACAUAGUCGUCACCACUGGUCGGGGUCACCGAGUGGACUAAAGGGUCGUAGUCACUCUAGCCCAGGCCACUAUUGGAGGAUCAAUGAUCUUGUCCAGCCCCUCGUGGUGCCCAAACAGUCAUUGGACUUCCACAACAACUGUGAUGCUUAGGAAUCCAGCAGUUCCAACAUGAUUUUGGGAGCCUCUGGUGGAGCUAACGUGCCAUGACGGUCCACCUGGCGCUCGGUUCAUCCUGGACGACCCCUCUGAGGGAAUGGACUUCUAGUUUCUUCACAAGGAAUUGACCUAGAUGAAGUGCGAUAUCGAAAGGGUACUGAGUGAGGUGCAGGGAAGCUUGCGCUGGUUCUCGGCCGUGGACAGAGCCAAUUUGUCGAUUACAGAGACGUCGACGAGUAUGGGAGCGCUUCGUGGACGAGCUUCAGAAGGUGAAAGGUGUGAGGAUCGUGCAUGUGCCAAAGCAACACAAAGUGCUUAUGAUUGUCGGGUGGAAGUGUCAAAGAGGAACCAGGAGGUUGUUACCCUUGAUUGUCUCGAGCGUAUGUGGGUCACAAUGCGCUUCCAAGCAUCAAAGCUGCGGAGGCAGAAUGUUCAAGCCCAAGUUGUAGUUAUGAAUAGGGAGGCGGUCUAUCGUAUCGAGGAAGAGGAUAGACUACACGAUCGCAUUGGAGGUUAGAUAUGUCUGAGAAGCUUGCGGUAGCUAAAGAGAAUCUCAUCGAAGUACAACAUUGCCUUGAGGGACUCAAAAGGGAACACACCAGCACAUGUUGAGGGCAGUGGACGUUGCACAUGAACGAUUCGGGACUUCACUCCGCUUUGAGCAUUUCGUGGACCGUGUUCGUGAACUCGAAGUGGAGACCUUUCGUCGGGGUGUCAACCAGACCUUUGUCAUUGCUAGAUCCCAUGAGGGAGGGAUCAACCUGGAAGCUCUGAGCGAAGAUUAUUGUGACAACUGGAGUGUCGCGGAACUCACAUAGAUGGUUGAGGCAUCGGAUCCCUUGUCCUAAAAGCUAGCAUAUAUCUUAGCUAGCAGCGCCCUCCCUGAGAGGGUCAAGGGAGCUCCAAAUCCCUGUAAGUCAGGGAAUAAACCUUGUAAAAGUAGCCUAGAGGGGGUGAAUAAUAUACACCUGAAAUUUCUCACCAAGAACUUGAAUUCAAGUCAAAUAAACAUUUGCACUGGUGCAAAUCAGUUGAACCG
Zea mays is the source of this 1449-nucleotide long non-coding RNA. RefSeq lists it as uncharacterized. NCBI's taxonomy places the organism in Eukaryota, Viridiplantae, Streptophyta, Magnoliopsida, Poales, Poaceae. The transcript is spliced from 4 exons. The record is from RefSeq and is a predicted model, not a curated record.